AAGUCGUAACAAGGUUUCCGUAGGUGAACCUGCGGAAGGAUCAUUAACGGGUUAGGGUCUUCUCAGGCCCGACCUCCCAACCCUUUGUUUACUGAACCUCUGUUGCUUCGGCGGGCCCGUCUCACGACCGCCGGAGGACCGCCGACAGGUGUCCUCUGGCCCGUGUCCGCCGACAGCCAAGCUCUCAAAACUCUGUAUGAAUCGUGUCCUUUAUCUCUAAGUCUAUGAUUUAAACAAAUCAAAAAGCAAAACUUUCAACAACGGAUCUCUUGGUUCUG
This 278-nucleotide unclassified non-coding RNA is filed under the name Cladophialophora sp. RNAcentral describes it as "partial internal transcribed spacer region". The stretch from base 1 to 46 matches the Rfam family "Eukaryotic small subunit ribosomal RNA", at positions 1786 to 1831 of the family's 1831-position model. Lineage: Eukaryota; Fungi; Ascomycota; Eurotiomycetes; Chaetothyriales; Herpotrichiellaceae. The record is from RNAcentral.